RNAcentral lists this ribosomal RNA (478 nucleotides) under uncultured bacterium. Its description in RNAcentral is "partial 16S ribosomal RNA". It matches the Rfam family "Bacterial small subunit ribosomal RNA", at positions 28 to 507 of the family's 1533-position model. The record is from RNAcentral.
GACGAACGCUGGUGGCGUGCUUAACACAUGCAAGUCGAACGGGAUUUAGUAAACAGCAGCCUCGGUGGAAGAUUACUAAUGAGAGUGGCGAACGGGUGAGUAACGCGUGAGCAACCUGCCUAUGACAGUGGGAUAGCCUCGGGAAACCGGGAUUAAUACCGCAUAAAAUCGUAGAAACACAUGUUUUAACGGUCAAAGAUUUAUCGGUCAUAGAUGGGCUCGCGUCUGAUUAGCUAGUUGGUGAGAUAACAGCCCACCAAGGCGACGAUCAGUAGCCGGUCUGAGAGGAUGCACGGCCACAUUGGAACUGAGACACGGUCCAAACUCCUACGGGAGGCAGCAGUGGGGAAUAUUGCACAAUGGGGGAAACCCUGAUGCAGCGACGCCGCGUGAACGAAGAAGGUAUUCGUAUCGUAAAGUUCUGUCCUAUGGGAAGAUAAUGACAGUACCAUAGAAGAAAGCUCCGGCUAAAUACGUG